UGUGUGAAACUGGGUCAGAGAAGACAUGCAGUUAUUGCUCUGAAUAUACGCGGAUAUUUAAAGUGCAUGGCGGAUUUAUUAAUUGUUAUGGAUAACCUCCAGCAGUAAGAAAUAUAAAGGUUCACUGCAGUUUUGACUAUGCACAACAAGUAUUGUACCCAUACUAUGCUCAGCAAGUAGGGCCCUUGUAUUUUAAGCCAACACAUAAAUGCAGAUUCUUUGGAGUUGCUGUGAAUCCUCAUGCAGGCUCUCAGAUUUUCUACCUAGUGUAUGAAAAGUACAGUACUGCUGUUGGAAGAGGAGCAAACAGUGUGGUAUCUAUGGUCCACCAUCACUUCAAGCAUCAUGGCUAUGGAGAAAAGAAUGUUUCAUUACAUAUGGACAAUUGUAGUGGACAAAAUAAGAAAAGUGUUGUAAUAAGUUAUGGAAUGUGGCUUGUUAUGAUUGGUCUACAUGAUGACUUGAUGGAGGCCGGACAUACAGAAUUCAGUCCUGAACAUGUUUAGGUAUAUUUGGCUUGAGCCUCUUUAAGCAAUUAGGUUUUUUCUUAAUAAUCAAGUACAUAUAUUGAUAAAACGUGCUGCAGAAAUCAUGUCUGUAAAGAGGCCACUUACAUUAAAGUACCACAUUUUCUGUUUCUUUUUGUGUUGUUAAAGAGUGUCUAGCUAACUGCAAGCCAGAUCAAUAUAAAUAACAUAAUUGUAAUAAAGUAAUUGUUUUUUCUUAAUCAGGUUUAAGAACUCUUUGUUAAA
Mercenaria mercenaria is the source of this 752-nucleotide long non-coding RNA. RefSeq lists it as uncharacterized. The record is from RefSeq and is a predicted model, not a curated record. Lineage: Eukaryota; Metazoa; Mollusca; Bivalvia; Venerida; Veneridae. The transcript is spliced from 4 exons.